ACCUAUGUGGUCUAAUUUGGCAUGACACCGGAGUCUGGUUCCGGUAAUUGAGGUUCGAAUCCUUGCGUAGGUGC
This 74-nucleotide transfer RNA is filed under the name Mycobacteroides abscessus subsp. bolletii. Its description in RNAcentral is "tRNA-Gln(ctg)". It matches the Rfam family "tRNA". Rfam says of the family: Transfer RNA (tRNA) molecules are approximately 80 nucleotides in length. Lineage: Bacteria; Bacillati; Actinomycetota; Actinomycetes; Mycobacteriales; Mycobacteriaceae. RNAcentral also lists the same sequence under 2 other names. The record is from RNAcentral.